CAUUUUUGUAAAGUUCAUAUGCUAAUUUUUUUGGUGGUAUUUUGGUUUUUAGUAUUUAUAUAGUAGAAAUGUUACUACUAAAAGAUUUAUAGACAAAGCAUAGAACUAUUAUUCAAAAGCCUAAAUGAUAGGCAUGUUUUGUAUUUAAUGUUGUACUUGUUUUGUUUCAUAUUGGACUUUUUACAUCCCUUCUUUUAGGGAAAAAAACCACAUUUGAAUUUUUUUUAGCAUAAAGCUCUGCAUUGAAAAUAGAACUGUAUUCAUAUGGUUAGCAAAACACACUUUGCCACCAAAGCUAAAUGAAAUUUUAAAAUACCUCCAGAUAUCCGUGCCAAUGAACUU
This 342-nucleotide long non-coding RNA is filed under the name Bos taurus (domestic cattle). RNAcentral's name for it is "long non-coding RNA NONBTAT011380". The record is from RNAcentral. Lineage: Eukaryota; Metazoa; Chordata; Mammalia; Artiodactyla; Bovidae.